This is an RNA transcript of Xyrauchen texanus (razorback sucker), 2018 nucleotides long. The record is from RefSeq and is a predicted model, not a curated record. NCBI's taxonomy places the organism in Eukaryota, Metazoa, Chordata, Actinopteri, Cypriniformes, Catostomidae.
AAGUAAAUAUUUGAACGUAAUCUUUUCGACCGCCUUGUGUUUUAAGGAGGAUUCACAAUACACAUUACCAGUCUAUAGAAAUUUGAAAAAAGAAAAGAUUGACCAGUUCAGCUGACAUGCUGCCGUUAUCUUUACUGAAGACAGCGCAGAACCACCCGAUGCUGGUGGAGUUGAAGAAUGGUGAGACAUACAAUGGCCAUCUUGUCAGCUGUGACAACUGGAUGAACAUAAACUUGAGAGAAGUUAUUUGCACCUCACGGGAUGGAGAUAAGUUUUGGAGGAUGCCGGAAUGCUACAUCAGAGGAAGCACCAUUAAAUACUUACGAAUCCCUGAUGAGAUCAUAGAUAUGGUGAAAGAGGAAGUGCUCUCUAAGGGGCGUGGCAGAGGUGGCAUGCAGCAGAACAAGCCACAGGGAAAGGGCAGAGGAGGCGGAGGACCUGGAAGAGGAGGCGGAGCCGGAAGAGGUGUUUUUGGUGGCCGUGGAAGAGGUAUGCCGGGAACUGGCCGUGGACAGCAACAAGACAAAAAGCCUGGAAAACCACAAGGUGUCAACAACUAACACUAGAACUAGUACAGAUUCUACAGGUCUCUUGAUGUGCACACAUUAACAUCUUAAGAUUGAUAAUCAACCAAAAGAGUGCGUUUAAUUUGAAAUGGACAUCCUGGAUCUCUGUGAAGAUUUUAAUUUGGAGAAGUCAUGAUGUAAAGACGAUCUUCCAUUUUCACCAGACUGUUUUUAUUUUCGGUUAACUCUCAUUUUGGCCUACGUUUUCACAUUUGCUCUGUUUUAAUUAGAUUUUUUGUUUUGUGCUUAAAAAUACAAUUAUGGCGUCACUUGACUUGUGUAAAAUGCACUUGUGAAUAAAUGAUUUUUGUUAAAUUUUGCAAUUGCUGUUAAUUUGUAAGGACUCCAUUAUGUCUGAAGAAAUUAUACACGUUGAAAAGCAAUGCACAUUUGCUAUUUCUUUUGUCAUAUGUACAUGCAUUAAUUGUGUCAACUAAAAGCAAAGUGCAACUUGAUUGUUUUUCUUUGUCUUUUGCAAACACUAAAAUGCAAUCCUGGCAACAUUGCAUUAUUCCUUAAUGUUAAUGCAUUUUUUGAGUCAUUUCAGAAAGUAAAUUUAACCCCCAUUUUUUAAAUGCCACACUUAUGACUCCAUUACUCAAUAAAAUGAUGUCUGUAGAGGCAGCAAAAAUUCUCAUUCAAAAAUGAGAUGAGCUCUGUGAACAAAGAUCGGCCGACCUGAAAGUGGCCAGAUGAAUUUUGAUUAAAUUAAUUUGGGCAGUGUUAUUUUUUUAUUUUACGAGCUAUUCAAUAGCUGGGCUUCCAUCCAUAUUUGUAUCUGUAUUUUGGGGUAUUGCCUUAAAAUUGUUGGAUGGAAACACCAAGAUAUGAAUAAAAUCUCUAAAAUGUGCAAACUUAUGUGUUCGGUCGAGUUGGCAAAAAACUGUAUUCGAUAAGAAGAAAUGCGCUCCAACUAUGAUGGAAACACAUUUACCGAAUAAUAUUCUAUUAAAUCUAUUAGGAAAACAAGAUGCGAAAAAAAAAAAAAACUUGUGACUGAAUAACAUCGCAUCUGAAAUGUUACUAUGGUCAUUCUAAAAUAUCAGUGUCUAGAAAAUCCAAAUCCUUCAUAGAGUUUGCAGAGAAAAUAAGUCAAAUACAAACUUGAACUGUGCCAAAGAGCAGGUUUAUUGACACUUUAAAAAAAAAUAUGUUAUAGAUCCGCACAGUAAAGUCGUGAUGCGAAGUUCUUCAUGUUUUAGUAUGAAAAAGUUCAGUGUGCUCGAAACCAUGAGUUUUAUAUCAAUAAAGUCACAGUGGCUCAAUUGGUCCGGAAGUGACAGUUUUGUUCUUUUAAAUACUUGAGAUGGAAACACGUCCUUAUUCUCACAUAGUUUUUUUUUUUUUUUGCUGCACAGAGUAAAUUCACAACUUGGAUGGAAACAUAGCUAGUAAUGACUCUUUUGCUGCCACCUACUUUUGUAAAGAUGUAAUUUGCAAAUCUGAUCUGAU